This is an RNA transcript of Pararge aegeria (speckled wood butterfly), 1065 nucleotides long. It is a transcript of the gene named RNA-binding protein 1-like, with no coding region annotated. The transcript has 5 exons. The record is from RefSeq and is a predicted model, not a curated record. NCBI's taxonomy places the organism in Eukaryota, Metazoa, Arthropoda, Insecta, Lepidoptera, Nymphalidae.
UUUCCAUUUAUUCGAAUUUCAUGCUCAUUAUUCAUUCUCCUGGGUUCUGUGAACGUCGUGCAUUUGAAGUGAUAUUUUAUUUUCUUGUAACGUGUUAUUUCCAUUGUUUGGUUGAAUAGAGAAAGUUCUAGUGAUAUUUUGGUAGAACUCAAGAUGUCUCGCUAUCGCGAAUGGGACCUCUCUUGCAAGGUUUACGUAGGUAACCUUGGUACGAAUGCCUCAAAAUAUGAAAUCGAAAAAGUAUUUUCUAAAUAUGGUACCAUCAGGAAUGUGUGGGUAGCGAGGAACCCUCCAGGUUUUGCGUUUGUUGAAUAUGAAGAUCCACGCGACGCUGAGGAUUCAGUUCGAGGUUUAGACGGCACACGUUGCUGUGGUACCAGAAUACGUGUUGAAAUGUCUAGUGGAAGAACACGACGUGAUCGCAGGUCCAUUUUAUCAACCAACCACCAACACACCAACGACCUCACCACAUCUGUUCACCACAACUACGGCUUCUUUACCGAUAAGACAUCCGCGACCGUCGCUCGCAACACCCCGCUCUGCGAUCGGCUCACCAACCUACGAUGCGCAACUGAAGCCUCCGCCAACAGCGUCCCCACAAUCCUCCUAACAGCUAUAACCUAAUCCUGAGACCUGAAUAAACCUGGACCCAACCUACUAUCGAGUGCCACACAGUAGGAACCUACAUCCUGAUUGUCAUUGCAAACUCCUGAAGCUUCGCGACUGCACACUUACGUCGUCACCGGGGCACAGAAUACUCAACUUGUGGCGUACUACAACCAUCCGCCCGCAAUUCGUUCUCGAAACUUCCGGUUAAAGUCACCAUUUGAAGAUCACAUUGAAAGUUGCUCCGCCUCGGUAUACAAACCCCCUUCGGCCUCACAGCAGCCCUCACAACGAUCGACGACCAACAAGGCUCACCAAGUCUCGAACACGCAGUCGUAGCCCUCGCAGGCGAUCGUACUCGCGCGGACGUUCGGGUUCGCCGCGCCGUUCGCCUUCGAUUCGCCGUCGUUCGCCCUCCGUGCGUCGCUCGCGGUCGCGCGACCGUCGCAGCCGAUCCGA